RNAcentral lists this ribosomal RNA (389 nucleotides) under Stramenopiles sp. MAST-1C. Its description in RNAcentral is "partial small subunit ribosomal RNA". It matches the Rfam family "Eukaryotic small subunit ribosomal RNA", at positions 582 to 975 of the family's 1831-position model. The record is from RNAcentral.
AUUCCAGCUCCAAUAGCGUAUAUUAAUGUUGUUGCAGUUAAAAAGCUCGUAGUUGGAUUUCUGGUGGGAGCGGCCGGUCCGCCGCAAGGUGUGUACUUGGUUGUCUCCUGUCAUCCUUGUGGGAACUGCUCUGGCAUUAAGUUGUCGGGGUUAGGGAACACAUCGUUUACUGUGAAAAAAUUAGAGUGUUUAAAGCAGGCUUAUGCCGUUGAAUACAUUAGCAUGGAAUAAUAAGAUAGGACUUUGGCGUCUAUUUUGUUGGUUUGCACACCAAGGUAAUGAUUAAUGGGGUCAGUUGGGGGUAUUCGUAUUCCGUUGUCAGGGGUGAAAUUCUUGGAUUUACGGAAGACGAACGACUGCGAAAGCAUUUACCAAGGAUGUUUUCAUUA